RNAcentral lists this ribosomal RNA (488 nucleotides) under uncultured bacterium. RNAcentral's name for it is "bacterial SSU rRNA". It matches the Rfam family "Bacterial small subunit ribosomal RNA", at positions 19 to 509 of the family's 1533-position model. The record is from RNAcentral.
CUGGCUCAGGAUGAACGCUGGCGGCGUGCUUAACACAUGCAAGUCGAACGAGGCUGCAUUGCGGAAGUUUUCGGAUGGAAGCGGUGCAGACCGAGUGGCGGACGGGUGAGUAACGCGUGGGGAACCUGCCCCAUUCCGGGGGAUACCAGUUGGAAACGACUGUUAAUACCGCAUAAGCGCACAGUGAGACAUCUCACAGUGUGAAAAACUGAGGUGGAAUGGGAUGGCCCCGCGUCUGAUUAGCCAGUUGGCAGGGUAACGGCCUACCAAAGCGACGAUCAGUAGCCGGCCUGAGAGGGCGACCGGCCACAUUGGGACUGAGACACGGCCCAAACUCCUACGGGAGGCAGCAGUGGGGAAUAUUGCACAAUGGGGAAACCCUGAUGCAGCGACGCCGCGUGAGUGAAGAAGUAUUUCGGUAUGUAAAGCUCUAUCAGCAGGGAAGAAGAUGACGGUACCUGCACAAGAAGCCCGGCUAACUACGUGCC